CAAAGAAAAUCAUCAUUUUUAAUUGCAAAUUUGGCUACACAAUUGGCCACCUGAUAGUGGAUUUAUACUAGAAAUUAAUGUCUAGAAUAGUUAAAUGAGAUUUUAAUCGAGAACACUAAGAGGGAACAAAUCAGACUAAAUGAUAACACUAUUACACAUAAGUGAUUUAACUAGCGAUAUUGUGCAGCAUUCAUAGAAAUGGUGAAGUGGUGAAGUCCAUCAACCAGCUCACCCUUGUCAAUCAUCCUCAAUUUUUGUGUAUCCUGGAUGUAGAAAUUGUUGGUGACGAAGGGUCUGAAUAAAGCACUUACUGAAGUCAGAAAUGUGCGUAACAGCAUGUGACAAAAAAUCGAUAGCUAACCAGAUACUA
RNAcentral lists this long non-coding RNA (370 nucleotides) under Trifolium pratense (red clover). RNAcentral describes it as "long non-coding RNA (TPRA_LNC007646)". The record is from RNAcentral. Lineage: Eukaryota; Viridiplantae; Streptophyta; Magnoliopsida; Fabales; Fabaceae.